Molecule: ribosomal RNA, 468 nt
Filed under: uncultured bacterium
Lineage: Bacteria
Description: partial 16S ribosomal RNA
Rfam family: Bacterial small subunit ribosomal RNA
Source: RNAcentral
GACGAACGCUGGCGGCGUGCUUAACACAUGCAAGUCGAACGGAAAGGCCCUGCUUUUGUGGGGUGCUCGAGUGGCGCACGGGUGAGUAACACGGGAGUAACCUGCCCUUGACUUUGGGAUAACUUCAGGAAACUGGGGCUAAUACCGGCGAGGAGCUCCUGCAGCAUGGUGGGGGUUGGAAAGUUUCGGCGGUGGGGGAUGGACGCGCGGCUUAUCAGCUUGUUGGGUGGGUAGUGGCUUACCAAGGCUUUGACGGGUAGCCGGCCUGAGAGGGUGACCGGCGACAUUGGGACUGAGAUACGGCCCAGACUCCUACGGGAGGCAGCAGUGGGGAAUAUUGCACAAUGGGCGGAAGCCUGAUGCAGCAACGCCGCGAGCGGGAUGACGGCCUUCGUGUUGUAAACCGCUUUCGCCUGUGACGAAGCGGGAUUGACGGUAAUGGGUAAAGAAGCACCGGCUAACUACGUG